GGUUAAGUUAGAAAGGGCGCACGGUGGAUGCCUUGACACUAGGAGUCGAUGAAGGACGGGACUAACGCCGAUAUGCUUCGGGGAGCUGUAAGUAAGCUUUGAUCCGAAGAUUUCCGAAUGGGGAAACCCACCAUACGUAAUGGUAUGGUAUCCUUAUCUGAAUACAUAGGGUAAGGAAGACAGACCCAGGGAACUGAAACAUCUAAGUACCUGGAGGAAGAGAAAGCAAAUGCGAUUUCCUGAGUAGCGGCGAGCGAAACGGAACAUAGCCCAAACCAAGAGGCUUGCCUCUUGGGGUUGUAGGACAUUCUAUACGGAGUUACAAAGGAACGAGGUAGACGAAGCGACCUGGAAAGGUCCGUCGUAGAGGGUAACAACCCCGUAGUCGAAACUUCGUUCUCUCUUGAAUGUAUCCUGAGUACGGCGGAACACGUGAAAUUCCGUCGGAAUCUGGGAGGACCAUCUCCCAAGGCUAAAUACUCCCUAGUGAUCGAUAGUGAACCAGUACCGUGAGGGAAAGGUGAAAAGCACCCCGGAAGGGGAGUGAAAGAGAUCCUGAAACCGUGUGCCUACAAAUAGUCAGAGCCCGUUAACGGGUGAUGGCGUGCCUUUUGUAGAAUGAACCGGCGAGUUACGAUCCCGUGCGAGGUUAAGCUGAAGAGGCGGAGCCGCAGCGAAAGCGAGUCUGAAUAGGGCGUUUAGUACGUGGUCGUAGACCCGAAACCAGGUGAUCUACCCAUGUCCAGGGUGAAGUUCAGGUAACACUGAAUGGAGGCCCGAACCCACGCACGUUGAAAAGUGCGGGGAUGAGGUGUGGGUAGCGGAGAAAUUCCAAUCGAACCUGGAGAUAGCUGGUUCUCCCCGAAAUAGCUUUAGGGCUAGCCUUAAGUGUAAGAGUCUUGGAGGUAGAGCACUGAUUGGACUAGAGGUCCUCAUCGGAUUACCGAAUUCAGUCAAACUCCGAAUGCCAAUGACUUAUCCUUAGGAGUCAGACUGCGAGUGAUAAGAUCCGUAGUCAAAAGGGAAACAGCCCAGACCGCCAGCUAAGGUCCCAAAGUGUGUAUUAAGUGGAAAAGGAUGUGGAGUUGCUUAGACAACUAGGAUGUUGGCUUAGAAGCAGCCACCAUUUAAAGAGUGCGUAAUAGCUCACUAGUCGAGUGACUCUGCGCCGAAAAUGUACCGGGGCUAAAUACACCACCGAAGCUGCGGAUUGAUACCAAUGGUAUCAGUGGUAGGGGAGCGUUCUAAGGACAGUGAAGUCAGACCGGAAGGACUGGUGGAGUGCUUAGAAGUGAGAAUGCCGGUAUGAGUAGCGAAAGACGGGUGAGAAUCCCGUCCACCGAAUGCCUAAGGUUUCCUGAGGAAGGCUCGUCCGCUCAGGGUUAGUCAGGACCUAAGCCGAGGCCGACAGGCGUAGGCGAUGGACAACAGGUUGAUAUUCCUGUACCACCUCUUUAUCGUUUGAGCAAUGGAGGGACGCAGAAGGAUAGAAGAAGCGUGCGAUUGGUUGUGCACGUCCAAGCAGUUAGGCUGAUAAGUAGGCAAAUCCGCUUAUCGUAAAGGCUGAGCUGUGAUGGGGAAGCUCCUUAUGGAGCGAAGUCUUUGAUUCCCCGCUGCCAAGAAAAGCUUCUAGCGAGAUAAAAGGUGCCUGUACCGCAAACCGACACAGGUAGGCGAGGAGAGAAUCCUAAGGUGUGCGAGAGAACUCUGGUUAAGGAACUCGGCAAAAUGACCCCGUAACUUCGGGAGAAGGGGUGCUUUCUUAACGGAAAGCCGCAGUGAAUAGGCCCAAGCGACUGUUUAGCAAAAACACAGCUCUCUGCGAAGCCGUAAGGCGAAGUAUAGGGGGUGACACCUGCCCGGUGCUGGAAGGUUAAGGAGAGGGGUUAGCGUAAGCGAAGCUCUGAACUGAAGCCCCAGUAAACGGCGGCCGUAACUAUAACGGUCCUAAGGUAGCGAAAUUCCUUGUCGGGUAAGUUCCGACCCGCACGAAAGGUGUAACGAUUUGGGCACUGUCUCAACCAGAGACUCGGUGAAAUUAUAGUACCUGUGAAGAUGCAGGUUACCCGCGACAGGACGGAAAGACCCCGUGGAGCUUUACUGUAGCCUGAUAUUGAAUUUUGGUACAGUUUGUACAGGAUAGGCGGGAGCCAUUGAAACCGGAGCGCUAGCUUCGGUGGAGGCGCUGGUGGGAUACCGCCCUGACUGUAUUGAAAUUCUAACCUACGGGUCUUAUCGACCCGGGAGACAGUGUCAGGUGGGCAGUUUGACUGGGGCGGUCGCCUCCUAAAGUGUAACGGAGGCGCCCAAAGGUUCCCUCAGAAUGGUUGGAAAUCAUUCGUAGAGUGCAAAGGCAUAAGGGAGCUUGACUGCGAGACCUACAAGUCGAGCAGGGACGAAAGUCGGGCUUAGUGAUCCGGUGGUUCCGCAUGGAAGGGCCAUCGCUCAACGGAUAAAAGCUACCCCGGGGAUAACAGGCUUAUCUCCCCCAAGAGUCCACAUCGACGGGGAGGUUUGGCACCUCGAUGUCGGCUCAUCGCAUCCUGGGGCUGUAGUCGGUCCCAAGGGUUGGGCUGUUCGCCCAUUAAAGCGGUACGCGAGCUGGGUUCAGAACGUCGUGAGACAGUUCGGUCCCUAUCCGUCGUGGGCGUAGGAAAUUUGAGAGGAGCUGUCCUUAGUACGAGAGGACCGGGAUGGACGCACCGCUGGUGUACCAGUUGUUCUGCCAAGGGCAUAGCUGGGUAGCUAUGUGCGGAAGGGAUAAGUGCUGAAAGCAUCUAAGCAUGAAGCCCCCCUCAAGAUGAGAUUUCCCAUAGCGUAAGCUAGUAAGAUCCCUGAAAGAUGAUCAGGUUGAUAGGUUCGAGGUGGAAGCAUGGUGACAUGUGGAGCUGACGAAUACUAAUAGAUCGAGGACUUAACCAU
RNAcentral lists this ribosomal RNA (2922 nucleotides) under Bacillus cereus. RNAcentral's name for it is "23S ribosomal RNA". It matches the Rfam family "Bacterial large subunit ribosomal RNA". The record is from RNAcentral. Lineage: Bacteria; Bacillati; Bacillota; Bacilli; Caryophanales; Bacillaceae.